Molecule: ribosomal RNA, 255 nt
Filed under: uncultured bacterium
Lineage: Bacteria
Description: partial 16S ribosomal RNA
Rfam family: Bacterial small subunit ribosomal RNA
Source: RNAcentral
AACGUAGGUGGCAAGCGUUAUCCGGAUUUACUGGGCGUAAAGGGUGUGCAGGCGGGGUAGCAAGUGGUGUAUGAAAUCUCCAGGCUUAACCUGAAGGGGUUAUGCCAGACUGCUGCUCUAGAGGACGAGAGAGGGGGGUGGAAUUCCGGGUGUAGUGGUGAAAUGCGUAGAGAUCCGGGAGGAACCCCAGAGGCGAAGGCGGCCCCCUGGCUCGUACCUGACGCUCAGCCACGAAAGCAUGGGGAGCGAACGGGA